GUCUAGUCGACCGUUUCUCUUAUAAAUUGCCCCGGGCGCGAGGUAACUGGAAAGUUGCAAUUCCGAACAAGCAGAAAAGUUUGACAUCUCUUCUGUAGCCGAAGAUCGCAGGAAUGGAACGUCCCGAAGGAAACCUCCCCCUCUUUGGUGAAUCCUUGUCGCCCUCGAGGGAUUACGAGGUGUUCUUAAGCUUCAGAGGGCCCGACACUCGCUUAACCAUCACCGACACUCUCUACACGGCCAUGAUCCGGGCUGGGAUACGCGUCUUCAAAGACGACGAAGAGCUCCACGUUGGGGAAGAGAUCGGAGGCGAGCUUCUGAGAGCAAUCUCCAAUUCAAAGAUCUACGUACCGAUCUUCUCUAAAGACUACGCUUCCAGUAAAUGGUGCCUCCGAGAGCUCGCGUACAUGGUGGAGUGUAGGAAGGAGAGGCGAGAAAGCGAUCUUGCCCAUCUUCUACGACGUGGAUGCAUCCGAUGUUAAGCUCAAAACUGGAUCGUAUGGGAAGGCCCUACAGAAGCACGAGCGAGAGUCCGGUGAAGAUGCGGCGAAGCAGUGGGAGGAGGCCCUGAGAGAGGUCGCCGGAAUCAAGGGAUGGAACUUAAAAGAUCACGGCCAAGAUAAACUUACAGCACUUGUUGUGGAAGAUGUUCUUCGUAAGCUGGGAUGGCCUAUGCAAAGAGACUGGCGUGAUGACUUGGUGGGAGUUGAGGAUCAGAUGGAAGCUGUUAUGGAGCUGUUAAGCCAAGGCACUCCCGAUGUUCGAUUUGUGGUGAUUCACGGCAUGGGUGGUAUCGGAAAAACAACUCUUGCUAAGGCCAUCUUCAGGCGCAUCUCUUCUCAGUUUCAAUGUUCCAGCUUUCUUUUAGAUGUCCGUG
Long non-coding RNA from Rhodamnia argentea, 877 nucleotides. RefSeq lists it as uncharacterized. NCBI's taxonomy places the organism in Eukaryota, Viridiplantae, Streptophyta, Magnoliopsida, Myrtales, Myrtaceae. The record is from RefSeq and is a predicted model, not a curated record. The transcript has 2 exons.